This 750-nucleotide ribosomal RNA is filed under the name Staphylococcus saprophyticus. RNAcentral's name for it is "bacterial SSU rRNA". It matches the Rfam family "Bacterial small subunit ribosomal RNA", at positions 73 to 804 of the family's 1533-position model. Lineage: Bacteria; Bacillati; Bacillota; Bacilli; Caryophanales; Staphylococcaceae. The record is from RNAcentral.
UACGCAGCUUGCCUCCUUUGACGUUAGCGGCGGACGGGUGAGUAACACGUGGGUAACCUACCUAUAAGACUGGGAUAACUUCGGGAAACCGGAGCUAAUACCGGAUAACAUUUGGAACCGCAUGGUUCUAAAGUGAAAGAUGGUUUUGCUAUCACUUAUAGAUGGACCCGCGCCGUAUUAGCUAGUUGGUAAGGUAACGGCUUACCAAGGCGACGAUACGUAGCCGACCUGAGAGGGUGAUCGGCCACACUGGAACUGAGACACGGUCCAGACUCCUACGGGAGGCAGCAGUAGGGAAUCUUCCGCAAUGGGCGAAAGCCUGACGGAGCAACGCCGCGUGAGUGAUGAAGGGUUUCGGCUCGUAAAACUCUGUUAUUAGGGAAGAACAAAUGUGUAAGUAACUGUGCACAUCUUGACGGUACCUAAUCAGAAAGCCACGGCUAACUACGUGCCAGCAGCCGCGGUAAUACGUAGGUGGCAAGCGUUAUCCGGAAUUAUUGGGCGUAAAGCGCGCGUAGGCGGUUUCUUAAGUCUGAUGUGAAAGCCCACGGCUCAACCGUGGAGGGUCAUUGGAAACUGGGAAACUUGAGUGCAGAAGAGGAAAGUGGAAUUCCAUGUGUAGCGGUGAAAUGCGCAGAGAUUUGGAGGAACACCAGUGGCGAAAGGCGACUUUCUGGUCUGUAACUGACGCUGAUGUGCGAAAGCGUGGGGAUCAAACAAGGAUUAGAUACCCUGGUAGUCCACGCCCGU